This 429-nucleotide unclassified non-coding RNA is filed under the name fungal sp. Its description in RNAcentral is "partial internal transcribed spacer region". The stretch from base 1 to 46 matches the Rfam family "Eukaryotic small subunit ribosomal RNA", at positions 1786 to 1831 of the family's 1831-position model. The record is from RNAcentral. Lineage: Eukaryota; Fungi.
AAGUCGUAACAAGGUUUCCGUAGGUGAACCUGCGGAAGGAUCAUUAACACGUUAUCCACGUAUCAACCAAUCGAGAACUUGUUUUCACGUCUCCCUUUGCAAUUUGAAUGAAUUGGCUAACCAGUUUGAGGGAAUUGAUGUGGAUUGCAUUCAUUUGCAAUCGGCCUUCCUGGUAUACUUAUGAGCUAUUGAAAAAUAGUUUGUUAACAAUUGUAUCUUAUUGCUGAAAGGCCAAAUUUCUUUCGAUAUUUUGAUCUCCAUCAUGAUCAAUAAAGUAUUGAAGGAGAAAACCUUAUAAAACUAUUUUCACCACCUUUUUGCUAGUUGACUUUUUAUAUGUGAUUGUUUUGCUUAAUUGCAAUGUAGUCGCACGUUUAAUUACUUGAACGUUAAAAAAUACAACUCUUAGCAAUGGAUAUCUUGGUUCUC